GAGCCGGGCACUGAUUGCGGCUCCGGGGCCGCACCGCGCUCCCUGCAGGCGAGGCGGCUGGAAAGUUGUUGAGCGGGGAAAGUUGCGAGACAAAAGCGAGGGGAGUGCGUCUCCGCUCCUUUGUUCUGCGUGGGGCGGGAGAGGAGGAGGGGGUGAGGACCUUUGCGAGAGAGACCGGCUGAGCCAGAGGCGCGCUCCGAGAGCCGGCGUGAUCAGCAGCAAUUAGGCUCUCCUGCAGAUCCCCCCUCUCCCCCCCAGCAAACCCAGCCGGGCGCUGCCAGGAGGAAGGUGCAUCCCUCUCCAAGGUCAAAGUGUGUUGGAGAAGCAUGAUGGCUGCCAAAGCACCAUAGAGCUGUACUGCAUUACUGCUUAAUUCAACUGCGGCUAUUUUGCUGGGACCUGGGAUAGGAGAAACUGGGAAUGAAUAAAGACAUCAAGCAUCAUCAUUUGGAUUUACACAUCAGUUAAUGAAGUGGUAGAAGUAGUGGAUGUGGCUUUUAAAUCAGAAAAUGUGCAGAAGAUGCUGAUGAAAAUGUUUUGGAGUAGAUCACUUUUUGAUACUGAGGUUCUACCAGAUAAAAUAAGGUGCAGCAAAAUUAAUUCUCUGCCAUGCAGUCGGAUGUAGAUGUUUGAUAGUACAUUUCAAAGGCAAUAGCUGGAUUUUGAGCACCAGGAUUGUUGAAUAAAACAGUUCUGUGGAUGAACGCCCAGCAAUCUAUGGUUGGAUCAACUUUUUCAUGAAUAGUAACGGUUCAGGAAGGGGAAGAAAGCAACAGGGAUGCAUUCAUGUGCUGCCAAGAGAGUCAUUAUGGACCCUGAUUCUUACGCACACUUUUAAUUUUACUACAUGGUGA
Molecule: long non-coding RNA, 854 nt
Filed under: Crocodylus porosus (Australian saltwater crocodile)
Lineage: Eukaryota; Metazoa; Chordata; Crocodylia; Crocodylidae
Description: lncRNA (ENSCPRG00005003621.1)
Source: RNAcentral